This 999-nucleotide long non-coding RNA is filed under the name Naja naja (Indian cobra). RNAcentral describes it as "lncRNA (ENSNNAG00000018089.1)". The record is from RNAcentral. Lineage: Eukaryota; Metazoa; Chordata; Lepidosauria; Squamata; Elapidae.
UGCCGCCCUUCUCCGAAGACUCAGGGCGGCUUACAAUUUUUGGGAUACAACCCAGUGUGCUCAGCAAUCUUAAGUCCGAGUCACUUGAUUUACUUCCGAGUAAGGCUAUACACGCAAACACUAAGCCACCCUGGCACCUUGUGCCCGCGAAACACAGGCCAUCCAAUAGCUUCACCCCCCUUAAUUUGGAAGAGGAUUAGCUCUUUUACGGGGUCAUAAUAGCCGGAGGUAGAGCUCAACCCGCCUAGUGGGCUUCAGUUGGGAGUCUGUUAAUUAACUGGUGUAAUUUUGGGGUGUUUUGAAGGGUUUUUGGAGCUGCUACCUCCGGGCCUCUUGAUGCCUUCUUAAGCAAGGUUAAUUAACUUCAGUGGGUUUGAGCUGUUUAAUUACAAAGGGCUGAUGUAAUAAAUGAUAAGGGACAGUUCCUGGAAAAUGAAAUCAAUGAAAUGUAAUAACUUAGAACACAGGAUGAGCACUGGUACUGAGCAUAAACUUCAUAGGUUUGCAAUUUCACAUGAUGAUUAUUAAAUGUUUGGCUUGAAAAUAUGCACAGCCAGCCUGAAAAAUAAGAGCUGAGGUAAAGUUUCAUGUUGACUUUUGUAGAAAACUAAUGAAAACAUUUACAUACGUAAGCAUAUAUUGUUUUCAAUGUAUACAGGUAGUCAUAAAAUGAGAACUGGAGUGAAUCAAAUACACAAUUCAUUAAACAAUGUUUCCAAAACAUCUGGUCCUGAAUUGCAGUUUGUUUGUUUUUUACAGAAUUUGAUUUGACAAUAGAUCUAAGCCCAAGCAACUGAAUGUACAGACAAUGUUUCAUGAAGAGCUAAUGAUGUUUCCACAAGACAAUCUGUGGAAGAAUCAAGAAUCCUACAAAAGCAAUAGAAAGGGAUCCCUUCGGGAGUACGGAUGCUUCAGGCCUGACCCGCGCGCUGUGAGUGAAGCGCCGAUUCCCUUCCCAGCUUCCUUCGGUCCAUGUCCCCGGCUCUCGCCUUCUGAAGU